RNAcentral lists this long non-coding RNA (1179 nucleotides) under Pan paniscus (pygmy chimpanzee). RNAcentral describes it as "lncRNA (ENSPPAG00000044941.1)". The record is from RNAcentral. Lineage: Eukaryota; Metazoa; Chordata; Mammalia; Primates; Hominidae.
CAGGAAUUUAUUUCUCACAGCUUCUGAAGUCUGGGAAGUCCAAGCUCAAGGUGAAGCCUCCUCAGGUGGCAAAGAGCAGAAGCACAAAAGAGACCAAACUCCCUCCCUCAAGCUCUUUUACAAGAACACUGAGACAUUCACAAGUGCUGAGUCCUCAAACCUACUAACCUCCUGAAGGCUACACCUCAAAUACGGAUUGAAUUUUCGCAUGAGUUUUGAGGGACACCCAUUCAAAGCAUAGCACCCUUCGGCUUCAGAGAAGCUCCAGCCCUGUUGUCACCAAGCAGGUUCCCCCUAGGCAGAGCGCCAAGAAGCAGCCCAGGCGAUCCCAAGGCGCACAAGUGCUCUCACCAGGCUGCGCGCUGGCGGGUCGGUGCACAGGGACGGGGUCGCCGCCCACGCGCGCUUGGUUCAGGGAGCCCAGGCUGUCCCUACCCGCGGCUACAAAAGCUCGCCGAGUCUUCCUGUCCACCCAAUCGCCCCACAUGUCAGCGGUUGGUCGCCUCGCGGUGCAGUGCUGGGCACGCGAGCCCCUCCCGCAGUCAUUCUCAGCACAAGCACCAGCCUGGAGCCCCGCAGCGACAGAGCUGAGAGCCCCCAAGCCGCAGAGGUCGUGCGGAGCAGGCCUAAGGCAAUAGCUAAUUGAGACUAUGCAUCACUAUUAAGGCAUCUUCACUAAAGGGCGCUGUGGAAACGCUGCCUGAGAUGCAGACACCUGUCAGAAGGGGGCUAAAUUUCAAACAAGGAACGUGGUGUUGCAUCACAAUAAAGUAAGUGUCCAGAGGGAACUUCUGCAGUACUGUGUUUUCCAACGUGCUGAGUGAUAUUGUAGGAGACUAUUCUUUUGCUGGAAUUUCUAUGAAUACAUCUAUGAAUACAUUUAAAUAAAAGUGUUUUUGUUUUUUUUUUGAGAUGGAGUUUCACUCUUAUUGCCCAGGCUGGAGUGCAAUGGCGCUAUCUUGGCUCAUGCAACCUCUGCCUCCUGGGUUCAUGCUAUUCUACCUCAGCCUCCUGAGUAGCUGGGAUUACAGGCAUGAGCCACCACGCCCAGAUAAUUUUUUGUACUUUUAGUAGAGAUGGGGUUUCUCCAUGUUGGUUAGGCUCGUCUCGAACUCCUGACUUCAGGUGAUCCGCCCGCCUUGGCCUCCCAAAGUGCUGGGAUUACGGGUGUGAGCUACU